This is a long non-coding RNA of Pecten maximus, 670 nucleotides long. RefSeq lists it as uncharacterized. The transcript has 3 exons. NCBI's taxonomy places the organism in Eukaryota, Metazoa, Mollusca, Bivalvia, Pectinida, Pectinidae. The record is from RefSeq and is a predicted model, not a curated record.
UUUGCUUCCAUCCCUUUACCAGGUAACAACCAGGUAUUCUCAAAUCCUUCACUCACUGAUCUACAUCUUCUGAUAACUAAUAUUGUAGUCUCAUUUAAGAUUGUUGUUCUCUAAACAAUAGGACAGCAAUCUUAAAAUCCAUUUUCUACAAUACUCUGAAUAUUUACCAUCUGGACGAGGUUACAAUUUUCCACCAUCUAGACCUUACACACAAACAGGUAUUCACAGGUAUGUAGUCCUUACAAACAGGUAUUCACACGUACAUAGACCUUACACACAAACAGGUAUUCACACGUAUGUAGACCGUACACACAAACAGGUAUUCACACGUACAUAGACCUUACACACAAACAGGUAUUCACAGGUAUGUAGACCUUACACACAAACAGGUAUUCACACGUAUGUAGACCUUACACAUAAACAGGUAUUCACACAUACAUAGACCUUACACACAAACAGGUAUUCACAGGUAUGUAGACCUUACACACAAACAGGUAUUCACAGGUAUGUAGACCUUACACACAAACAGGUAUUUACACGUAUGUAGACCGUACACACAAACAGGUAUUCACACGUAUGUAGACCACACACAAACAGGUAUUCACACAUACAUAGACCUUACACACAAACAGGUAUUCACACGUAUGUAGACCUUACACACAAACAGGUA